This 425-nucleotide ribosomal RNA is filed under the name uncultured bacterium. RNAcentral's name for it is "bacterial SSU rRNA". It matches the Rfam family "Bacterial small subunit ribosomal RNA", at positions 354 to 796 of the family's 1533-position model. The record is from RNAcentral.
GUGGGGAAUAUUGGACAAUGGGCGCAAGCCUGAUCCAGCCAUGCCGCGUGAGUGAUGAAGGCCUUAGGGUUGUAAAGCUCUUUCGUCAGGGAAGAUAAUGACGGUACCUGAAGAAGAAGCCCCGGCUAACUUCGUGCCAGCAGCCGCGGUAAUACGAAGGGGGCUAGCGUUGCUCGGAAUCACUGGGCGUAAAGCGCACGUAGGCGGCUUUCUAAGUCAGGGGUGAAAUCCUGGAGCUCAACUCCAGAACUGCCUUUGAUACUGGAGAGCUUGAGUUCGGGAGAGGUGAGUGGAACUGCGAGUGUAGAGGUGAAAUUCGUAGAUAUUCGCAAGAACACCAGUGGCGAAGGCGGCUCACUGGCCCGAUACUGACGCUGAGGUGCGAAAGCGUGGGGAGCAAACAGGAUUAGAUACCCUUGUAGUCC